RNAcentral lists this ribosomal RNA (253 nucleotides) under uncultured bacterium. RNAcentral describes it as "partial 16S ribosomal RNA". It matches the Rfam family "Bacterial small subunit ribosomal RNA", at positions 524 to 776 of the family's 1533-position model. The record is from RNAcentral.
UACAGAGGGGGCAAGCGUUGUUCGGAAUUACUGGGCGUAAAGGGCGCGUAGGCGGCCUGUUAAGUCGGACGUGAAAUCCCUCGGCUCAACCGGGGAACUGCGUCCGAAACUGGCGGGCUUGAAUUCGGGAGAGGGAUGUGGAAUUCCAGGUGUAGCGGUGAAAUGCGUAGAUAUCAGGAGGAACACCGGUGGCGAAGGCGGGUCUCUGGGCCGAUACUGACGCUGAGGAGCGAAAGCGUGGGGAGCGAACAGG